UUGUAAAAAAUUAAGGAGUGGAUUCACAUUUUAAUUUGCCUAAUUGAUUGCCUUAUUACAAAGACUUGCACGCUGGCAAGCAUUUCCAUCGAACAAGUUACCAUUGCUUUUCAAUGAUCGUCAUCUAAUAGUUUGUAACCGUUGGUUACAAGUUCAACUUGUAGCUCCUCCACAAGUAUAUUUUAAAACCAUAUUUGCUCCCUAAACAUUCCCAUAUAUCCAUAAUAAUACGCCCUUUACAGAAAAACACAACCACUAACACCAUAAUGGAACAGCAGCUGCACUCAUAUGGCUUGGGGAGUGUAAAAGCGCUGUCCAACUCUCACACCUCGCACUGUUUGGGUGACAGAUUCGCUGUAUAACAGUUUGAACGGACAGGGCAAAAUAUCACCCAGCCCUUUAUUGUUCGCCAACAGAUGGAGUACUUAAAAAUAGGGUGUGUGGUCAAAUUGUAGACACAAAAAAAAUAAAAGAAUGCAAUUUAUGAUGCAACAACUGCAUUUCACAGGUGGGCAUUUUUAUUAUAAAAGCGCGGUAAGGUGAUUCAAUCACUCUUAUCGAUCGUGAUCUCUGAACAGAGUAGAAGUGCGCGCGUGUGUAGUGUUAGUAUUGUGAAGGUAAAAUUGUGAAGCCUUUUGUGUGGUGAAAUUGUUAAAAUCUUGGUUUGUUCUCUUUUUGUGUUAGGUCUUAAAGCUAUUGUUAGUAAAAUGGAAAGAAUAGAAAAGUUUUAGUAAACAUGCAUAAUACAAAAAUUAGUACGGUUAGUUAUUUGCUAAAAGUUAAAUAUUUCUAAAACUAAUGUGUUAAUUCCUAUAGCUAAAACGCAAAAGUUACUGUCCUUAAACUAAGACAAACAACAAAUAAUUUGAAGACAAACAAACAAGAAAAAGGUCCGGAAAGUGGACCUUUUUCUUCCGACCUUUCUUCUAUUUUCGACAGAAGUGUCCGGAGGCCGAUUUCCCGGAUACCAUCGCGUACCUCGCCGAUCGAAAGCCGUCAGUGACAACUCCGCCAUCUUUGUCACCAGUGACUGGCAAAACACAGCUACCAACCGUCAUCCCGGUAGCUCAAUUCCGCCAUCGUAGUCCUCGUCGACUGGCAACAGCAGCAUUACCAUCCCCAUCCCGGUGGUCUGAUUCCGCCAUCUCCGUCACCAUUGACUGGCCAAAACCCGCCACGAACAUCGUUAUCCGGUGGUACAUUUCCGCCAUCUGCGUCAACAUUGACUGGCCACACCACCACUACCAUCGUUACCGGUAGUAUGAUUCCGCCAUCUUCGUCAUAAUUGACUGGCCAGAACGGUAGCUUUCGCCCGGAGGCGACCAAACACUACCCAAGCAUGGACACCACGAAACCACAACAAAUGAUCCGGAUCACGCAAGUACCCCAUAUAAGUGACGUCAAUAAUAAAUUGUAAAAAUGUAAAAA
Molecule: long non-coding RNA, 1428 nt
Organism: Armigeres subalbatus
Lineage: Eukaryota; Metazoa; Arthropoda; Insecta; Diptera; Culicidae
Exons: 2
Source: RefSeq, a predicted model, not a curated record